Molecule: long non-coding RNA, 328 nt
Filed under: Homo sapiens (human)
Lineage: Eukaryota; Metazoa; Chordata; Mammalia; Primates; Hominidae
Description: HSALNT0394724
Source: RNAcentral
CCUGCCCAAAGGGAAAGUCCAGGGAUGGUGUUGAAAUUCCGUUCUGAGCUAGAGGGCUGUUUUAACAGAGAAAGGAAUCUAUAAUUGGCAAGAAAGACCAAGCUUAAUGUCAAAGCCGUUUGAUAAGUCUGAGAUCACAGAAUGUCUAGGCCAAGACUUAGUCAGAAUGAAACAUGUUUCUGGAGAACAGGAAGCAAGGCCACAUGCUGAGCAGGAGGAGCCAGCACAGGGUGGAGUAGUGAAGGGCCACUCUGCCGCAGCCGCGUCUCAAUGGUUUUGGAGUUAGGACCAUCCUGGAUAUAGCUGAGAUGCUGAGUGUGGCCAAGAG